RNAcentral lists this ribosomal RNA (512 nucleotides) under uncultured bacterium. Its description in RNAcentral is "bacterial SSU rRNA". It matches the Rfam family "Bacterial small subunit ribosomal RNA", at positions 40 to 518 of the family's 1533-position model. The record is from RNAcentral.
CGGCGUGCCUAAUACAUGCAAGUCGAACGGUCUUUCUAUGGAAGCUUGCUUCCACUGAGAAGAUAGUGGCGAACGGGUGAGUAACAACGUGGGUAAACCUGCCCAUAAGAGGGGGGAAGUAACAAUCCGGAAACGGGUGCUAAUACCGCAUAGUUUUCUUGAUCGCAUGAUUGAGAAAGGAAAGACGGCCUUUGUGCUGUCGCUUAUGGAUGGACCCGCGGCGUAUUAGUUAGUUGGUGAGGUAAUGGCUCACCAAGACGAUGAUACGUAGCCGACCUGAGAGGGUGAUCGGCCACAUUGGGACUGAGACACGGCCCAAACUCCUACGGGGGGCAGCAGUAGGGAAUCUUCCGCAAUGGACGAAAGUCUGACGGAGCAACGCCGCGUGAGUGAAGAAAAGGUUUUCGGAUCGUAAAACUCUGUUGUCAGAGAAGAACAAGUUGGAGAGUAACUGCUCCAGCCUUGACGGUAUCUGACCAGAAAGCCACGGCUAACUACGUGCCAGCCGCUGC